CUGGAGUCUGAGAGAGCUGGGGUCAGGGGCCGACUUCACAGUGUCCAUGCAGUGUGCCUGGAGAGCGGAGAGCAGGAGCAGGAGGGGCCAGCAGGAGCUUGCUUACACCCCUGCUGGCACUCUGGGCACUGUCAGGGACAGCCUAUUCCAUCUUGAGACACAAGGCCUGUGGGAAAGUCCCUGACACUCCUCACCGAGGUUACUGACUCUGUACCCAGCUCCUGUGAAAAGUCUGCAGCAUCUGCUAGGACUGGGCACAACUGCCCAUGCCAGGCACUGUGCCGGACACUGGAGAUACAGGGGUGAAUUCCAAGAGGGAAGAGCUCUGUGAAAGGGGGUGCAUGCUUU
Long non-coding RNA from Nycticebus coucang (slow loris), 348 nucleotides. RefSeq lists it as uncharacterized. The transcript is spliced from 3 exons. The record is from RefSeq and is a predicted model, not a curated record. NCBI's taxonomy places the organism in Eukaryota, Metazoa, Chordata, Mammalia, Primates, Lorisidae.